AUCAAAUCAUUCUUACCUCUUCAUUAAAAUGGCUCCUACGAAGAACACUUGUUGACAAAUGUGAACAAUUUAAAAUCUCUGCAGAUUUAAGCAUUUUCCUUCUGGCGGGUCCAUCCAGCAAGUGAUACUAAUUAGGAGCUUUUAUUAACCUUGAGAUCUGGAGGAGGGGGGCUUCUGACUGACUCUGGAUGGCUCAGGCAUGCCAGAGGGCUAAAGGUUCAUCUAGAAACAGCUGCAGAGACAGCAGAGCAUAAAGCUCCGGGUGGCAGCUCUUCCUGGGGCAGCCGGACUGCCCAGAUGGCCCUUCCAGAGCUGGGAAAUGCAGACUUGUCCCUGAGGUGGAAGGUCCUCGCCUUCUAGCACAUUCUUCAAGAGUGACUCUGAGGCAAGCCAGCCGCCAUGUCAUGAGGACACUCAAGCAGCCCCAUGGAGAGGUCCGAUGGCGAGGAACAGAGGAUCCCCCUGCCGAUAGCCAAUGAGGAACAGAGGCCUCCCAACAGCCAUGUAAGGGGUCACCUUGGAAGCCAAUGGCCCCUCCCUACUCAGGCUUUUACAUGACCGAGGUCCUGGCCAACGCCCUGACGGCAACCUCAUGAGAGACCAUGAGCCAGAGCCGCCCACCUAAGCUGCUUCUAGGUUCCUGACCCUCAGAAUCCAUGUGAGAUCAUAAAUGUUUGCUCAAUUUGAGAUAUUUGUGAUGCAGCAAUAAAUAACAAAUACACUUA
Molecule: non-coding RNA, 725 nt
Organism: Macaca mulatta (Rhesus monkey)
Lineage: Eukaryota; Metazoa; Chordata; Mammalia; Primates; Cercopithecidae
Source: RefSeq, a predicted model, not a curated record